RNAcentral lists this ribosomal RNA (233 nucleotides) under uncultured bacterium. RNAcentral describes it as "partial 16S ribosomal RNA". It matches the Rfam family "Bacterial small subunit ribosomal RNA", at positions 338 to 588 of the family's 1533-position model. The record is from RNAcentral.
CCUACGGGACGCAGCAGUGAGGGAUAUUGGUCAAUGGGGGAAACCCUGAACCAGCAACGCCGCGUGAGGGAAGACGGUUUUCGGAUUGUAAACCUCUGUCCUCUGUGAAGAAAAUGACGGUACCUGACUAAGAAGCCCCGGCUAACUACGUGCCAGCAGCCGCGGUAAUACGUAGGGGGCAAGCGUUAUCCGGAUUUAUUGGGCGUAAAGCGGGUGCAGGCGGUUCAAUGAGU